This 21-nucleotide non-coding RNA is filed under the name Arabidopsis thaliana (thale cress). The record is from RNAcentral. Lineage: Eukaryota; Viridiplantae; Streptophyta; Magnoliopsida; Brassicales; Brassicaceae.
CCAUGAAGUGUCUCGUGCCCA